GCCAGGCAUGGUGGCCCAUGCUUGUAAUCCCAGCUACUUGGGAGGCUAAGGCAGGAGAAUUGCUUGAACCCAGGAGGUGGAGGUUGCAGUGAGCCAAGAUCAUGCCACUGCACUCUAGCCUGGGUGACAGAGCAAGACUCCGCCUCAA
Molecule: non-coding RNA, 148 nt
Filed under: Pan troglodytes (chimpanzee)
Lineage: Eukaryota; Metazoa; Chordata; Mammalia; Primates; Hominidae
Source: Rfam by way of RNAcentral